Long non-coding RNA from Mustela erminea (ermine), 4742 nucleotides. RefSeq lists it as uncharacterized. NCBI's taxonomy places the organism in Eukaryota, Metazoa, Chordata, Mammalia, Carnivora, Mustelidae. The transcript has 5 exons. The record is from RefSeq and is a predicted model, not a curated record.
UAUUUUUAGAGCCCGGCCCUUCCCCAGACGCCAGGAUCCCAGCUGAGAUUUCCAGCGGCUCCAACGAGCCCAUUCCUGGGCUGAGUCCUCGCUUACUGGGAAUGUUCUGGAAGAGAGACGGAGCCCCUUAAAGGAUAUGAUUCUCAGUGUUCUCAUCUGAGACACGUGGGGCUGGACUGGGUGGAGGGUCUCCCAGACCCUCCGGCGAGGACGGCCCCGACUCAGGAGACAGAUGGGAUCCGGCUUGGACAAGCUCGACGGAGGUCCCUGUCCGCUGAGGUCACGCUCAGAACCUCCAGGGUGUCCACUCCGUGGUGGAUGUACACAGUAGGUGUUCAACCAGUUGGCUGCUGACGGGCUCCUGGGACACUCUGCCUCCCACAACUGCCCGCUGUCCCGAGGGGGGCACGCCUCCCGACCCACCGGGACUUGCUGUUCCUCUGCCAGGCGUGGGCUCUGCCGCAGCCAGGAAGGGGAAGGCGCCGGGCCCACUGCUGACCAUCAGGGUUUGCUCCUGCGCUUCGACUCAGCUCCUCGGCGGGGAGGUUGGCUCAUCUGUGCGAGUGUUUGCUGAGUGUGCUGGAGCCAACAGCCACUUGACCUUGGCAGGGUCUGGCCUCCACACAGAGCGGGGGCCAGGCUGCCCCUCAUGGAGCAGACAGAGCCCUUUACUGACUUGCAGACCCAGACGGCUUGCCCGCCUCCCCUUUCGAGGAGCCACUCUUCCUUCCGCAGCCUGCCAGGCCAGUGCCCCCUCCUCCGUAGGCUGGGGAUGGGCUGCCCAGCCUUCCCAGAGGGCUGGGGACUGGGAAUUCCUGCCUCACCUCCCCCAUCCCCCAGGGACAGGGGUCAGCGGGCAGUGCAACCGUAGCUGUGGCGGUUUCUCCUUUCCCUCCGCUCGGGACACUGAUGGCAGCCUGUCCCAAAUCCUCCUCCAGCCCCCACGGAUUGCUGAGGGGAUCUGGGCUCCCACUCCUUAGCCAGGACCAUCCACCCCCCGGGCAGCUGACUUGGGUGCAGCCAGUGGUCCCUUCUAGGAGCCACGCCACCAGGGGAAGCAGGGGAGCUCCUGCCCACCCGCACUGCCCUGUGGAACAGCCAGCAGCCCUGCCCCAGCCCUUAUAAGCGGGUCUCCCCUGGUCCUCUCCAGGCCCAGAUUGUUCGGGGCACAUGUCCUGGGGAGUCUGUGCUCCGUGUCCUGGGUUUGGCUCACGACGGUCUCGGCUAUCAGGGUGGAAACUCCCCCAGAGCAGGAACAUUGCCUGGGCUGGGCUCCAGGCAAGUCGGUUCCUCUUUGUUGGCCAAAUGAACACAUCCCCCGAAGGAAGGGUUCAGGGAACAGUGGCCGUCCGUGCGACGUCGCACCUUGCAGCCAUCCCGGCUGUUGUUGGCAUGUUGUUCAGGGUCCAGACAAGGCUCCGCCGUCCGAGCUGAGUGAACACAUUACAACCUGUGACUAUGGAAAGACUUCAGUUUUGCCGAAGAGACAUGUUGAUAGUUACAGUUCGGAGGGAAGUCACCCCUCCUGGCAGAGCUCGCCACGUGCCACCGUCCCUUGCCUCCUGUGCGUGAACAUUCAGCCAGCAUGUGGGGGGUCGCGAGCAGGUGAUGUCAGGCACCGAGAACUAGGAGACGUGACAGCAGAGCAGAGGGGUGACCCAGAAAGGACAGGGCACGUGGGGAGUGAAGGGACUCGGCAGGGAGGUUGUGUCCCUGUUUAGAGAAGGGGGCCCCUUCAGUGCGCCUCCCGGGUCCGCAGCCUGACACGCUGCCAGCCCGAUCUGCUUGGCUCGCUGCAUGUGCUGGCAGAACCUCCCUCCCCCACUGUCAGGACUCCAGCUGCCCCGGAGUCUGUGCUCCGGACUGAGCAGCUGAGAAACCCGGGGGACGGUGACCCUCCUGGGACCGAGCCCAGAGCACCUCCAUCCCCACACACGGGUCCUGCCUGCCCCGCGUAUGGGCAUCUGGUGGGCCACCGCGUUUUCCCCCGGGGGACCCCCACCCCACCUGUCCGUAGCUCUCCACCGGGGACUAAUCCCGGGUUUCAGCCACGGGGUCUCCCUUGCCUGGAGGGCUGGGAAGUGCCCCUGCUCCGGGAGGGGAGGGCCCGAGCAGAGAGAAAAGAGACAGUAACCUCUCAGCUGCUGCUGGUCUAAUUCUAGCCCCAUCUUGCCGCCCUGUCACUCACUGGGAAGCGCGGAGGGGGUGGGACAGACAGAAACCCAGUGAGACAGGGAGAGAGACGUGCGGAGAGACAUACAGAUGGGAAGGGACGUUUAGGCAGAAAGAGACGGAGACAGGGAAGGGGGGCGAGAGACAGGCAGAGAGAGGCACCCGAGGGGGGGGGGCAGGAGGGAAGGAAGAGGGGCCGAGGAGCCCCUGAGAAGGACAACUGGCUGGGUGUCCAAGAGGAGAGAGAAAAGGGGCAGAGGGAAGCGAGAUGGGCUGCCCCUUCCUCUAGGGAGCCCUCCUGGCUCCGAGCUCCCAUCUCUCUCCCUCUUUCUGCCUUCUCCCCGAAACGGUAUCCAGCCUCCCCUCUGGUCCCUGGCCCUGGCUUGGGGUUGCAAGUCCCCAAAGGAGGAGCUAAGACAGGGAGAGCGAGCUGCUGGCCUUGCUGACACACCGGUGGGCAAGCUUCUCCUGAGGAUGCUUUCGGACACUUGAGGCCUGGUGGCCAAGCAGUCUGGAGAGGAGGCCCCCAGCCCUGUGGAUGGGACAGGGGCUGCAGGCUCUGCUCUCUGCGGCAAGCAGCCCGCCGCCAGGAGACCACGGCAGAACACCUGCAGGGUACCUGGGCCCAACGUGGACACCCUGGCCACGAUGACCCCACCCUACCCGUCCCCGCACAGAUGAGAACACCGCUCCCUCUGGGGGGUCGGGCCGAGCAAGCAGGACCCUGCCUGUCAGAGCAUCCUGCCAGGAGUGGGGGCAGGUCCGUUCCCCCCACCCCACCCCCAGCAGCCACAGAACUUGGGUACUUGGCUCUCAAAGGAUUUUAAUGGACGCCCCCCCCAACCUCUGACACCUGCUAGCACCCUUAGGCUCUUGAGGCGGCCAGGAAAUAAGAAAUCUCACUCUCUGUUAAGUCUGAUCCUGGCCUGGAUCUGGGGUUGGGGGACUCCAAGGCUGGCCCCCCACGCCCCCUUCCUGCCCUUCUGUCUUCGGCUCUGGCCCCUAGAGGAGGCCAGGCCCAGGCAUCCGGGACUGGCUGACAGAAUCCUUCAAAGUCCUCAAAGAAUAGCAACAUCUCAAUGUGUCUCCUAAAAGCCAUUUUCUAGAAUGUUCUAGAGAGCCAGCUUCUGCAAUGACCGCCUCCUGGGCCCUUGUCUGGGAGGAGCGUGAGGCGGUGGGUGGUGCCAAGGACGUGGGGGUGUAGCCGUCUGCGGGUCCUGGGUUCGAGCCCCACCUCUGCUUCGGAAAGCCACGUUCUCUCUGAGCCAGAUUCCUCCCGUCAGGCCAUGAGGACAACAGCAAGGACGUUCAUCUCCCGGGGCCCGGGGAGGAUGACGUGCUCUUUGUCAUGACGCCCAGGUUUGCCAGGGGCCACUGAAAGGCUGUCUGGUCGGCCCACGUGGACAGCUCACCUAGGACCGGGAAGGGAGCCUGCUCCCUGCGGUGGGAAGUUUCUGGGGUGUGAGUCAAGCUUUCAAUCACACCGCUUCACCCUCUCUCCCCGCCGUGUUCUCCUCAUUGGCUGCAGGGGACUUGGGGCUAAUUAUAGAAGUGCAAUAAUUAAUUACCAGGCCUGCCAACUCCAUGGAGUGUAAUCUGUGAAAAAAGGCACGAUGCGGGAUGCCUCUCCCUCCCUGAGAGUUAGAGAAGCCCCAGACCCUGACUCCUUUCUGGACGGCCCCUUCCGCACCUCCUCCUGAUGUCUUAGCUCCUCGGGUGAAGGUUGGGCUUCAGAGAGGCCAACGGCACGAGCGUGAUCCUGGGGAGGCCAUUCUACUUCUCUCGGGCAUGUUGUGGGGGUCUCGGGUGGUCCCAGCUUCUCUCCAGCCUGGUCUGCUCUGUGUCUCCCCUCUGUUCCGCUGAUUCCCUUGAAGACCUGGCCAGCACACUUCCCACCAGGCCCCGACUGGCCCUCAGGAUCCUUCUCAACACAAUCCCAGCAGCCUGUUGACCGAUUUGGGUUGGGGUCUGUGAUGAACGCCGAUGCCGUACACGGGAACCCCCUGAGGACCCAUCCUAAGAGAAGGCUGGGGCCCUCAGCAGAGGGAGGAGCAGUGUCUCCCCCAGAUUCCCCGCCCGUUGCCCAGCUUCCUAAGUUGUUCCCUGUCCCCCUUGUCCCCUAUGGAUCCCCACCAGGGCAGUGGCUCGGGUUCUCUCCUGUACACUGGGGGUAACGCUUCCCGCCUUAUAGGACUAUUCUCCAGAGCAGAUGAGUAAGGAGAUGAUGCUGGAUGGGUUCUAGGAUCCGUCCUGUAACACCCGGGGAAUCGGAGGGCCCUCACCAUCAAUGGAGUGUUUGCAGUUUGUCUGUGUUUUAAAAACUCUUAGUGGUGGGGGUGGGGGGGGGGAUAUAAGUGCUCCCGACCGGUGGGAUGCUCGAUCAUUGAACAACAGCGCCCGGAGCCUUGGAACGGGGCCGCACAGAAACGCACAUAGAGGCCAGCUGUUCUUUCUGAAAUCCGUUCCUGUUCUGUGGACCACCCCCCCACUGCCGCGCUCAACAAUAGCAGGUAAAAAUCACUGAGAACAGAAGGCCCCGUUGUGGGGCUCCCGAGCGUGCACUGGGGGAG